AUACGUAGGGUGCGAGCGUUGUCCGGAAUUACUGGGCGUAAAGAGCUCGUAGGUGGUUUGUCGCGUCGUCUGUGAAAUUCCGGGGCUUAACUCCGGGCGUGCAGGCGAUACGGGCAUAACUUGAGUACUGUAGGGGAGACUGGAAUUCCUGGUGUAGCGGUGAAAUGCGCAGAUAUCAGGAGGAACACCGGUGGCGAAGGCGGGUCUCUGGGCAGUAACUGACGCUGAGGAGCGAAAGCAUGGGUAGCGAACAGGAUUAGAUACCCUGGUAGUCCAUGCCGUAAACGGUGGGCGCUAGGUGUAGGGGUCUUCCACGACUUCUGUGCCGUAGCUAACGCAUUAAGCGCCCCGCCUGGGGAGUACGGCCGCAAGGCUAAAACUCAAAUGAAUCGACGGGG
Molecule: ribosomal RNA, 398 nt
Filed under: uncultured bacterium
Lineage: Bacteria
Description: partial 16S ribosomal RNA
Rfam family: Bacterial small subunit ribosomal RNA
Source: RNAcentral